Molecule: ribosomal RNA, 433 nt
Filed under: uncultured bacterium
Lineage: Bacteria
Description: partial 16S ribosomal RNA
Rfam family: Bacterial small subunit ribosomal RNA
Source: RNAcentral
AACGAACGCUGGCGGCAUGCCUAACACAUGCAAGUCGAACGAAACCUUCGGGUCUAGUGGCGCACGGGUGCGUAACGCGUGGGAACCUGCCCUUAGGUUCGGAAUAACUCCCCGAAAGGGGUGCUAAUACCGGAUAAUGUCUUCGGACCAAAGAUUUAUUGCCUUUGGAUGGGCCCGCGUUGGAUUAGCUAGUUGGUAGGGUAAAAGCAUACCAAGGCGACGAUCCAUAGCUGGUCUGAGAGGAUGAUCAGCCACACUGGGACUGAGACACGGCCCAGACUCCUACGGGAGGCAGCAGUGGGGAAUAUUGGACAAUGGGCGAAAGCCUGAUACAGCAAUGCCGCGUGAGUGAUGAAGGCCUUAGGGUUGUAAAGCUCUUUUACCCGGGAUGAUAAUGACAGUACCGGGAGAAUAAGCGCCGGCUAACUACGUG